UUCAGGUCCUUGACCCGGGCGUGUCUGGCCUGCACCCGGCCGGGUGAGCAUACUGUGAAAAAAAUGUGGGAGGGGUUUGAGAGCUAAUAGUUAAUAACGAAAAUAACAAUAAAGAAACAAAUAAAAAAAACCCUUAUUUCCCCCUUUAACCCUAACAUCACCCACCGUACUGUACAUCAUCGCCAUCCAUCAGCAACCUUCAUCCUUUCUCAACCGGCUAUCGUCUUCCACCACCGCCUCCGUCACCCCGUCGCACCCUCACCACUCCGAAUUACCACCGCCGCAUCGCCUCCACCAACAACCGCCGGUCUCGUCAGCGUCAAACACCCCGCCACCGGUUCCAACCAACAACAACGCCAUCUCCGUCGCUGCCUUCCACCACACCAUCAUUCACUGCAGCAUCAGGGUUGUGCAUAUCACGACCACUUUGAGGUAUGUUACUUGAUUUGUGAGAACACCAGGCAAUGCUUCGUCUCAUGUAUGCUCGUCAGCGUGAGAUGGGUCGCACCAUCGUCUCUCUCCGUGAUCACAGAGAUCGACUUAGAUGUCCGCCACCUUCGUAGAUGCCUUCCACAUAUUCCUCCGAGCCUCGAGGACGAUGCUAUAUCUUAAGCUUGGGGAGGUUAAGGUUAGAGAUGCAGAGUGAUCGCGAGUGACAAAGAUGGAUCUUUAAAAGGGUAGGAAUCGCGAAUGAUAAAAGAGAUUAGGACAUGUGAAUGUUCAAGUUAUAUGAUAAAAAAAUGAUUGUUGGUGGCUUGAAAGGAUGGAAUGGAAACAGUUGAUGAUGAUGUAAAAAUUAGAUGGAGUUUUCUUCAUCAUACGUGUGACAACCCUCAAAAUUCCAUGUAUUCCGUACAAUUUGUUAUUAAUAAUGAAAGUGCUUGACGACUGUGUGGAAU
RNAcentral lists this long non-coding RNA (899 nucleotides) under Helianthus annuus (common sunflower). Its description in RNAcentral is "hypothetical non coding rna". The record is from RNAcentral. Lineage: Eukaryota; Viridiplantae; Streptophyta; Magnoliopsida; Asterales; Asteraceae.